AAAUUUAAGAAGCACUGAACAUUCUGGGAUUCAGCAUCAAGUCAUAUAGCCUGGCCAGUUCUAACCCCUUGUCCCUUGUCUCCAGAGCUGAUACCUUGUGUCUGCUUUAUUCUAUGGUACAUGAAUCCUUGACUCAUGCCCUAGUCCCUGUUAGACAAGUACCUGUUCUCAUGCUAGGGUUUGGCAUCCUAGUCUGGAUAGUGCAAUGACCAUGUUACCUCUUGGAAUUCCCACCUUCCUGCAUUUAAUGAGCAUUGCCUGCUAUUGGUCUUCUUUUUGACAUGUUUCUGUCUUCUUUGGGGCCACAUCCUCUUCAGAACACCUUCAUAACCAGCUGUAUCUGCUGCCAUGUUCUUCAGAUACAGAUCCUGGGCCUCUCCUGGGCUCAGCACCUGAGACAAUCCCUCAUUUUGGAAUAAGCUUCUGGGCCCAGGUUCUGCCUGCUUCAGUUAAUCCAUCCUUCUAGAGUCCACUUUGACACAUCCUGUCAUGCCCCAGAUAACACAUUUGUCAUGCUUUGUGAUUUGGAGCCAGAUCUAGCCCCAAAGAUAAAUAUAACAUCUUUGGAAGUGCUUAUACUCAUAGAAUAUUUAGCUCAAUUAAUCAUUUAUUGAGCAUCUAUUGAGUACUAGGUAUCAUGCCAAGCCUUAGGGAUAGAAAAGACAAAAUCUAAGAUACAGACCUUGUUUUAAGAAAUGCACAGAUUAAUAUGAGAUGUAAACAUAUAAAUAAAUAAUUAUGGUCUCUUUUCAUCUCCUUUGCAUAUUCAUUUGCAUAGUUCUGCUCUAGUUAAUAGUUCAUCUCUAAUUCUUCUUUAAGUGGAGGUUUAUUUAAUUUUUUUUUUAAUCCUGAAGAUGACCACCUGUGAAUUCUCCUUUGGAAAGCUUUUAGUCCUUUGCCCCCUUUUCAUAGCCUGUAGCCCCAUUCACUGCCCCAGUGACUCCAGUGAUCAUUGGUGUUGAGUUAGGAGUGAUAAAGUGACAUACCUCUCCUUUGCUCCAUGAAACCAAAGUCAUGGGCUUAGACAAAGACCCAGCUUUCCCAGGUGGAAAACGAUCAGGCUGUGAUCAAAAGUGCUCAAAUAACUUCACUUUCCUGCUAAGUCUACCUGAUAUUCCCACCUCCAAUACUCUCAUCUCCUUUGAAGAUACACCAUAAUUAUGGGGCUCCACUGGGUCUGAACAAUUUGAUGUUUUCCCCAUAGAUCAUCAUUACUAAGUGAGAGGUGGAAAGCAUGAGUAAAUUAUGAGGAAAAGAAAGUUAGAUGUCAUUUUUUACCAUGUUUUGCUUUUUCAACCAACCCAGUGUAAUUUAUGAAGUAUGACCAUGAAGGCUCCCUGGAUUCUGACCAAUAUUAUCUGGCCUAAACCAAUCCUACAGCUCCAACACAAUCAGUCAUGCUGAGGGAACUGCUUGACAUACCCUGAACUAGUGCUGCUGUGCUCCAGUACUGCUGUGAUUAAUUAGAUGUUUAGGAGAGCUAGUGAGUCACCAGUGUUUGGGUAUCAGUUUGAGGGACUAGGGAUUGACCCCAGCAUUCUGCUGAAUAUAACAGUGUGAUGAAACACAACUUAUGUAAUAGGAAGUAGCACCUGGUAGAGCAUGGUGACAGAUUAGCAAGGAGUAAAUAACAAGAACUUCUCAAUUGCCUGAAAAGCAGCCUGCAAACCUAAGAGACUGCAAAAAGUUUAAUCAUUUACUUAAGCAUGUAUUAAUAGCACCUGCUUUGUCCAGAGAACUGUCCUGGGAUUACUUAAAACUAUGAGCCCUGCUGCUGUGAAGUCAAGUCUAAGUAGAGCAGGCAGAAUGUCAAAAUCUGUUGGCGUGUCUAUGUGUGCAUGUAUAUGUUCAUAACUAGUAUGGAAGAGUCCAACAGAAACAAAAAUAACAAUCCAAAAAAAUAUAUUGAGCAGAGAAGACCAAAAUAACUACAACCAUACUUUGUAGAUUAAAUGUGGACUGAGGUCCAGGAAUGAGCACAGGAAAACAUGCAGCAUGUGAGGAGGGGGUCAGACACAUAAGCUGUGAGUGUUGGGUCUGGCCCUGUCUAUGGCCCUGAUUCUGUCUCAGUAAAAUGACUAUUAUAUCAGUAAGUGAUCAAGAAAUUCAGUGAAAUAACUUUCAAUACCUAGUGCAGUGGCUGCUACAUAGGAUGCGUUAAGUGGUUCCCCAUCUCCUGAAUCAUCUACCAUGAACCACAUUGUACAAAUUAGGAAACAGCCCCAAAGAGGUCAAGUGAGCUGCCCAAGUCACAAGGCUGUUAACUACAGAGAGAGGACCUCCAACCUUGAAUCUGGUGCUCUGAACACUGUACCAGGUUGCCUUCCGUUCCACAUUUUCGCGGAUUAACCACCUCAAUCAAGUAGAGUCCUUUCUUCAGCUGAUGUCACAGUUCAUAAACAACACAGCCCUAAGCAGACGCAACAGCCUUGCCUCGGAAUCCAAGCUGAGACUUGGAAAAAACGGUCCCCCUUACUAUAUAACCUGAAUCCUAUUCCCUUUACUGCAGAUUCAGCCAGGGCCACACACAGCUAUCUGGGGUUCAGCAGUAUCCUCCCACACAGCUCUCCCACCUCAUGCUCAGCUGCUGUUCCACACACAGCAGAGAGCUGAUAGGAAGCAUCUAUUCAAGUUCCCCCACAUGCUACUCUGUUAUUUUAGUCUCUUUUGGGCCACGAUCCCAAACUGGCAAUCCUUAGAAAUCCAAUUUUUGUUUACUUUUUGAUGACUCUAGAGUUCAGAAAGUUAGAGUAUUGCUUUUUAAUUAAUUCUACUUUCCAGAAGCUCAAGUUGCCUAGUCCUGCUAGUGGUGGUUCCCUCUAACUCUCCUAGAAAAUAGAUAUGGUCCUGUUAGUUGGCAUUGGUUGUAGUCAUUAUUAUUCACUGAAGACUCUACUUUAGACAAACUUGCAUUUUUGAAAUUGCUGUCAUUUAAUCCCAUAGGCAGUUGAUUUAAGCUUCAUUUUUCCCAUUAAAUGAAAAUUAAAUUAAGCUCAUUAUUGUAUUAGACAGGCAUUGAUUAUACUCACUUUGGUUUUAAUUAAAUGCUACUAUUCAUUAUUUCCUCCUGUGUAGUGCUUUUAAUUUUCUUUGGUAUAUAAUUUGGGGUAACAACAAUAUCAGUAAAUUAUCCCUCAUAAAUAAUACUCAAAGAGAAAGACAUACAAAACACACUGUGAAAGCAAUUUGAAGGUGUUUGCUUAUUGUUUUUAAUUUACUGGUAGGAUAUUUAUCGGGGGAUAUUUUUCCAUGUUGCUCCUUUGUGAUAAAACAGGGCAUGCUCAUAUCUCUCUUAAGCAGCUCUGACUUUUGCAGUUAAUGGCUGACUUCAAGAUGUCAUUGAUCUUAAAAAUGUGCUGACUUUAUGUGCAACACUGAAGUUAUGGUCCAGGGGGUAGAUGUUUGAAUUUAAGUCUAAGAACAUUAUCAGAAAGGUUUAGAAAAAUGUCCAGAGAAGCUUAUUUAGUUUUUUCUACAACAUUUGUGAAGCACUCAUUUCAUGCUAAACAGUCUCCUUAGCCUUGGAAAUGCCUGGAAUGAUAGAGGACCACGGACCUUGUCCUUCUGGUACUUGUAUUCUAAAGGGUAGAAAAUUGCAUAGUAUAUACUGACUCCAACUCUUUGAGAAAACAGGAUUCCUAUUAACUAGCUGAUAGUGCCUGGUCCAUUCUCUGCAAGUCUUGACUUUGAGCAAGAUCGUGUAUUUUGCAGUCCUCUCCUCUUAAAUAUAUCAGAAUGAUAGCUACAGAAUGAAAUUUCUGAGCUCAAAAUACAGACAGCAUCUCUCAAGUCCAGAACAGAAGUGGAAAAUAAUGAGUAAAUCAAGUAGAGCCCUUGAGGGCUCUGGUUAGAGAAGCUGUCCAUUCAGCUAGGAAUUUAUUCCCUUACUAGAUAAUAGUACCCACCAAAUGAGAGCUCAGGGGUCAGUGCUUGCAGCACGGUUGACAGUGGGUAAGGAGUCUAAAAAGUACUUCUGAGGCUAGUCUUUUUACAGCAAGCCGCAGUCCUGUGGACAUCUUAUGACCUGGAAAUGAACCACAUUGCCAGUGAUUAGAUUUGGUUCUGAUCUUGAAGAAGUUGAGAAAGCAAGGAGAAUACAAGCAACUAGAUAGGAAGGGCUGAGCAUGCUGGGAAGAGGAAGAUGAGUAAACAGACAAGUAACUCAAAAUGAUCCUAGUCUUCAAGUACAAAAUCCUAACAUGUAAAAACACGCUGAGAAGAAAUCCUAAAAUCAAUGAUCAGAAUAUGAAUGCUCUUCAUCUUGAAAGAAAUUUAUGUACCAGUCUGAGUUGACUUCUUUCAUGACGUCAUGAAGGAAACUUCUGUUUCAAAAGUUAGGAAACAAAGCAAAAGUAGGUUGACAUGAAAUGAGAACAGGGAAAUAUGAAAAAGAACCAGUUAUAAAUGUUGGAAAUAAAAAGAUAAUUAAAAAUGAAAUAAAAACAUCGUUGGAACUAGAGGUCCUCAUACUAAGUGAAGUAAGUCAGAAAGAGAAAGAAAAAUACCAUAUGAUAUCACUUAUAUCUGGAAUCUAAUAUAUGGCACAAAUAAAACUUUCCACAAAAAGGAAACUCAUGGACCUAGAGAACAGACUUGUAGUUGCCAAGGAGAAGAGGGAGGGAGUGGAAUGGGAUGGGAGUCUGGGGUUAAUAGAUGGAAACUACUGCAUUUGGAGUGGAUAAGCAAUGAGAUCCUGCUGUAUAGCACAGGGAACUUUAUCUAGUCACUUGUUAUGGAAUAUGAUGGAGGAUAAUGUGAGAAAAAGAACGUAUAUAUUUGUAUGACUGAGUCACUUUGCUGUACAGAAGAAAUUGACAGAACACUGUAAACCAGCUAUACUGGAAAAAAUAAAAGUCAUUUAAAAAUAAAUAAAUAAAAAUAAAUUUUAAAUAAAAUUUAACAGCUCAGUAGAUGAGAUGAACUCUGGAAUAGUCUUAUUCAAAUGGAAAAUUACUAGAGUUUAUGAUUAUACUCAAGGAUUCGCCCCGAGUGCAGCAAGAGAGACAUGGAAAUUUUCUCAGUUUUUGAAAAAAGCUGUUAAAGAUGUGGAAGACACAGAAGGUCUUACAUAGUUUACCAGGGUAUAUGAGAGAGUAGAAGAGAUAGAGGAGAAUGGAAACUUGGGAAAAUAAUGUGAGGUAUUUCAAGACAUGAAAAAAGGCAAAAUUAUUUAGAUAAAAAUUUCAGUCUGAGUAUGCAGCAGAAUUAAGAUAUAUAUGUGUAUAUAUUCAUACAUAUUCUGAUUAUCAGGAUGAUAUAAAGAGAAAAAAUCUUAAUGGAGUUCCUGUCGUGGCUCAGUGGUUAACGAAUCCGACUAGGAACCAUGAGGUUGCGGGUUCGAUCCCUGCCCUUGUUCAGUGGGUUAACGAUCAGGCGUUGCCAUGAGCUGUGGUGUAGGUUGUAGAUGCGGCUCGGAUCCCGUAUUGCUGUGGCUCUGGCGUAGGCCAGUGGUUACGGCUCUGAUUCGACCCCUAGCCUGGGAACCUCCAUAUGCCGCGGGAGAGGCCCAAGAAAUGACAAAAAG
Molecule: long non-coding RNA, 5524 nt
Filed under: Sus scrofa (pig)
Lineage: Eukaryota; Metazoa; Chordata; Mammalia; Artiodactyla; Suidae
Description: lncRNA (ENSSSCG00000054815.1)
Source: RNAcentral